This 253-nucleotide ribosomal RNA is filed under the name uncultured bacterium. Its description in RNAcentral is "partial 16S ribosomal RNA". It matches the Rfam family "Bacterial small subunit ribosomal RNA", at positions 524 to 776 of the family's 1533-position model. The record is from RNAcentral.
UACGAAGGGGGCUAGCGUUGCUCGGAAUCACUGGGCGUAAAGCGCACGUAGGCGGAUUGCUAAGUCAGGGGUGAAAUCCUGGAGCUCAACUCCAGAACUGCCUUUGAUACUGGUGAUCUUGAGUCCGGGGGAGGUGAGUGGAACUGCGAGUGUAGAGGUGAAAUUCGUAGAUAUUCGCAAGAACACCAGUGGCGAAGGCGGCUCACUGGCCCGGUACUGACGCUGAGGUGCGAAAGCGUGGGGAGCAAACAGG